AGGGAAGAUAAAUUGUUAUGCAUGUAUGAAUGUGUGUUUUACAACUUGAUUUUGUGUCAUUUUGAACACUUGAAGAAAAUUCAAUAGAAUUGAGUUAGACUUAAAGUCCACUACUAAUAUGAUAUCAGAAUCAUCGUUAAAGUCUAUCCUAAUGAUAUUUGUUGUUUGUUGAACAUAUUAUUGCACCCACUAACAUGCCACUAUCGAACCAUCCUAUAUACAUCGACG
RNAcentral lists this long non-coding RNA (228 nucleotides) under Vigna radiata. RNAcentral describes it as "long non-coding RNA (VRAD_LNC003712)". The record is from RNAcentral. Lineage: Eukaryota; Viridiplantae; Streptophyta; Magnoliopsida; Fabales; Fabaceae.